Molecule: ribosomal RNA, 375 nt
Filed under: uncultured bacterium
Lineage: Bacteria
Description: bacterial SSU rRNA
Rfam family: Bacterial small subunit ribosomal RNA
Source: RNAcentral
UACGAAGGGGGCAAGCGUUGUUCGGAAUUACUGGGCGUAAAGGGCGCGCAGGCGGCUUGUUAAGUCAGAUGUGAAAGCCCCGGGCUCAACCUGGGAAUAGCAUUUGGGACUGAUGGGCUAGAGAUCGGGAGAGGAGAGUGGAAUUCCCAGUGUAGAGGUGAAAUUCGUAGAUAUUGGGAAGAACACCGGUGGCGAAGGCGGCUCUCUGGACCGAUACUGACGCUGAGGCGCGAAAGCGUGGGGAGCAAACAGGAUUAGAUACCCUGGUAGUCCACGCUGUAAACGAUGUGUGCUAGACGUUGGGGGACCUAGUUUCCCGGUGUCGCAGCUAACGCGUUAAGCACACCGCCUGGGGAGUACGGCCGCAAGGUUAAA